Canis lupus familiaris (dog) is the source of this 1141-nucleotide long non-coding RNA. RefSeq lists it as uncharacterized. The record is from RefSeq and is a predicted model, not a curated record. The transcript has 3 exons. NCBI's taxonomy places the organism in Eukaryota, Metazoa, Chordata, Mammalia, Carnivora, Canidae.
UUCUUCAUAGGAAUAGUCAUGGGGAAGAAUAAGCAUUUUCAUCUUGUAUUCACUAUUUUCACUUUUAUCCCCACACCUACUUCCAGACACUGACUUCCAUGCAGGUGGAAGGAAAGGAGGAAGCACUUAGAAAAUUAGAAUCUCCAGAAUAACUUAACUUGAGCCAAAGCCAUCUAGGCAGUUAAUAUGGCCAUUUUAAGGAGGUAAAGCGUUCCUAAGCUUAAAUCCCAUUUGUAAUAGAUGCUGUUGUUUAGAGGAAUGAAAGGAAACACUCAUGCCAAUGACAAGGGGAAGAAGAAGAGGACUACAGAGUGUUGGAAAGGAACGCAAUUUAGAGUUAUGUCAUCCAGCAUUCCACAAGAGUAGGAAGGACUCUGCACAUGACCACAGCAUUUGCUCAGACACCCCCGUGAGAGGGAGCUGACUACUUCCUGGGAAGCUCAAUUCUCUUGGACAGCCUUUUUAUUUAUUUUUUUUAAAGAAAAAUUUUCCUACCCUGAUACAAGUUUCUGCCUCCCUGUCACUCCUACUUAUUGCUUCUAAAUCUGCUCUGUGGAAAUGUAUGCAACUCCCUCUCAGAGACAGGCCUUCAAAUACACCUCCUGAUGGAAAUGUGGGGCUCAAUUCCAAAUCUGUUGGGAUCCUAUAGGUUGGCCUUCAAUGCUUUCUUCAUUUUAUGGACUCCUCACACUCUGAGAAACCAUAAUAGAUUACAAACUCAAAGACAAAAUUUUUAGAGAUUAUUAUUAUUCCACUUUUAAUCUUUUAAAAAAUGCUUGGCAAAAUAUACAUACCACAAAAUUUACCUUCUUAACCAUUUUUAAGGGUGGCAUCAAGUACAUUCACACUGGUGUGCCACCAUGACCACCAUCCAUCCACAGAACUCUGCAUCUUGUAAAAUUGAAACCCUGUACCCACGGAACACUGGUUCUUCAUUUCCUCCUGCCCCCUACUACCUGGCAACUGCCAUUCUAUUGUCUGUUUCUGUGAACCUGAGGCACUCUACGUGCCUCAUCGGAGUGGAAUCCCAUAGCAUCUGUCUAUGACUGGCUUAUUUCACUGAAUAUAAUGUUCAUAAGGUUCAUCCAUGUUGUAGCAUAUGUCAGAACAUCCUUCAUUCUUAAGGCUAAAUAAUAUUCUC